GACGAACGCUGGCGGCGUGCCUAAUACAUGCAAGUAGAACGCUGAAGAGAGGAGCUUGCUCUUCUUGGAUGAGUUGCGAACGGGUGAGUAACGCGUAGGUAACCUGCCUUGUAGCGGGGGAUAACUAUUGGAAACGAUAGCUAAUACCGCAUAACAAUGGAUGACACAUGUCAUUUAUUUGAAAGGGGCAAUUGCUCCACUACAAGAUGGACCUGCGUUGUAUUAGCUAGUAGGUGAGGUAACGGCUCACCUAGGCGACGAUACAUAGCCGACCUGAGAGGGUGAUCGGCCACACUGGGACUGAGACACGGCCCAGACUCCUACGGGAGGCAGCAGUAGGGAAUCUUCGGCAAUGGGGGCAACCCUGACCGAGCAACGCCGCGUGAGGUGAAGAAGGUUUUCUGGA
Molecule: ribosomal RNA, 406 nt
Filed under: Streptococcus sp. oral taxon C65
Lineage: Bacteria; Bacillati; Bacillota; Bacilli; Lactobacillales; Streptococcaceae
Description: bacterial SSU rRNA
Rfam family: Bacterial small subunit ribosomal RNA
Source: RNAcentral